CAACCCAGGAAUAACCGAAAGAAAAAAUGUAAAUGGGCGGACCCAAACGGUCCAACGGGCCCAACGGGCGAAAAUUGCGGGUUCAAUUGGUUUUAAAUGGGCGGUCCGGGUAGAAAUGACUGGACCGCGGGUACCCUGACCCACCCGAAGCCCAUUUUCCAAAAGAUGUUGUUUUCAUAACUCAGCUCUCAUUUCCCUGUUCCCUCAUUUUUUUCACUUUAACGCAAACACUCUCUCUCUCUGUCUCUCAGAUGAAUGAAACCCUAUUAGAGCGAUCUCCACUGUUUCUCUUCUAUUUUCAUCAAUCACCACCACCGUUGCUCACCCUCAACUCCACCACAAGGAACCCCUAGCCAACCACCAUAACACACAGUUACUCUCCUUCACCGACACCACUACUCGAACAAGAAGAACACACACCAUCUCCUUCUCUCACCGACCUUCAUGAACACCAUUUGAAGUUAAGAUCUUCGGUCUACCAUUGUUCUUCUUUCAUUUGCAAGAUAUUGCAGUUAUUGAAGAGGGCUUGUAUUCCAGUGGUUGGUUGAACAGAGGGCCAAAUUGAAGUUGUGAUCUUCGAUCUAAUUUGUUGUUUUGAUUUUUGAUAUUGUUGUUUUGAUUUAAACAAAUGGCUCAAGGUCAAAGUAGCAGUAUGGAAAAAGUUUUAGAGUUGGGGCAAUGUAACUGUAAGUGUAUUAAACUCCUUUCAAUAUUGUUUGUAUGAUGGAUCAAGGUCAAAGUAGCAUGGAUGAUUGGUUAGUUCACAAUUUUGUAUGGGCUUGACAUUUCAUUUGAAUGUGUUGUUUGAUUGUUUAAGCUAGGUAAAAGAAUGGUCUAUAAAGUUAUUCUCUCCUUUACAGUAAAAUAUCCAACUCAGUGCAAAAGCUACUUUAUCACUCUUCGUUAAAUCAAGAUUUGGAUUCCAAAAUAUUUGGCAUGACAGUAGCUAAACAGGAUGUUUGAUUUACCUUUUGGAGUGUCCAAAGAGAUUUUUAUACCAUGUUAAUUUAAGGGUCAAUUCCAUGUAGUGUGAAAUGGCUGGCAUUUUUACAAUGUUAUAUAGGGAUAAAUAAAGCUAAAACCUGAAGGUGCUACAUCUGUGUUUCUGGAUUUCUUAAUUGCAGUUUUUUUCUUUGUUCUUUUAGCUAGUUCAUAUAUUAUUUAUAAAAAUUAUAACUUCCACUUUGUUCUUUGUUCUUUGUUUAUUACUUGUUGAUGGUUCAUGAACUUUAAAAAGCUCAAUUAUAUAUAUGGUUUUACACUUUGUUCUUUUAGCUAGUUCAUACAUAUACUCUGCUGGUACUUUCUAAUUGGUCACCUUUAGCUAGUUCAUACAUAUACUCUUUUUAAUAAAUGUACAUGACAGGGCUCAUGAAGAUAUGGUUGCAUAGCAACAUUCUUGGAAUUGAAAAAGAUAUAUCAUAAAAGUUCUGUAAAAUAUUGGAUACAUAGAUAUACAAUAAAAGAUGAAUAGUUGCUUUCA
Molecule: long non-coding RNA, 1483 nt
Organism: Lathyrus oleraceus (garden pea)
Lineage: Eukaryota; Viridiplantae; Streptophyta; Magnoliopsida; Fabales; Fabaceae
Exons: 2
Source: RefSeq, a predicted model, not a curated record